This 253-nucleotide ribosomal RNA is filed under the name uncultured bacterium. Its description in RNAcentral is "partial 16S ribosomal RNA". It matches the Rfam family "Bacterial small subunit ribosomal RNA", at positions 524 to 776 of the family's 1533-position model. The record is from RNAcentral.
UACGAAGGGGGCUAGCGUUGCUCGGAAUCACUGGGCGUAAAGCGCACGUAGGCGGAUCUCUAAGUCAGGGGUGAAAUCCUGGAGCUCAACUCCAGAACUGCCUUCGAUACUGGGAGUCUCGAGUUCGGGAGAGGUGAGUGGAACUGCGAGUGUAGAGGUGAAAUUCGUAGAUAUUCGCAAGAACACCAGUGGCGAAGGCGGCUCACUGGCCCGAUACUGACGCUGAGGUGCGAAAGCGUGGGGAGCAAACAGG